GAUGAACGCUGGCUACAGGCUUAACACAUGCAAGUCGAGGGGAAACGACAGGGAAGCUUGCUUCCCCGGGCGUCGACCGGCGCACGGGUGAGUAACGCGUAUCCAACCUGCCUCUGACUGAGGGAUAACCCGUCGAAAGUCGGCCUAAUACCUCAUGGCAUCGUCUGCGGGCAUCCAACGACGAUUAAAGAUUUCAUCGGUCAGGGAUGGGGAUGCGUCUGAUUAGCUUGUUGGCGGGGUAACGGCCCACCAAGGCUACGAUCAGUAGGGGUUCUGAGAGGAAGGUCCCCCACAUUGGAACUGAGACACGGUCCAAACUCCUACGGGAGGCAGCAGUGAGGAAUAUUGGUCAAUGGGCGGGAGCCUGAACCAGCCAAGUAGCGUGCAGGAGGACGGCCCUAUGGGUUGUAAACUGCUUUUAUGCGGGGAUAAAGUGAGGGACGUGUCCUUCAUUGCAGGUACCGCAUGAAUAAGAACCGGCUAAUUCCGUG
RNAcentral lists this ribosomal RNA (491 nucleotides) under uncultured bacterium. Its description in RNAcentral is "partial 16S ribosomal RNA". It matches the Rfam family "Bacterial small subunit ribosomal RNA", at positions 28 to 507 of the family's 1533-position model. The record is from RNAcentral.